This 497-nucleotide ribosomal RNA is filed under the name uncultured bacterium. Its description in RNAcentral is "partial 16S ribosomal RNA". It matches the Rfam family "Bacterial small subunit ribosomal RNA", at positions 28 to 507 of the family's 1533-position model. The record is from RNAcentral.
GACGAACGCUGGCGGCGUGCCUAAUACAUGCAAGUUGAGCGAUGAAGAUUGGUGCUUGCACCAAUUUGAAGAGCAGCGAACGGGUGAGUAACGCGUGGGUAAUCUGCCUUUGAGCGGGGGACAACAUUUGGAAACGAAUGCUAAUACCGCAUAACAACUUUAAACAUAAGUUUUAAGUUUGAAAGAUGCAAUUGCAUCACUCAAAGAUGAUCCCGCGUUGUAUUAGCUAGUUGGUGAGGUAAAGGCUCACCAAGGCGAUGAUACAUAGCCGACCUGAGAGGGUGAUCGGCCACAUUGGGACUGAGACACGGCCCAAACUCCUACGGGAGGCAGCAGUAGGGAAUCUUCGGCAAUGGACGAAAGUCUGACCGAGCAACGCCGCGUGAGUGAAGAAGGUUUUCGGAUCGUAAAACUCUGUUGGUAGAGAAGAAAGUUGGUGAGAGUGGAAAGCUCAUCAAGUGACGGUAACUACCCAGAAAGGGACGGCUAACUACGUG